GGUGCGACAGUGGGUCUGGGGUCCCACGCAGCAUGACAAUGAGCCUGGGGUCACACUCAACCUGAGUCACCCCACCCUGCGUCACAGUGUCUCCCACUGAGGCCCCUCGGUCGCUCCCACUCGCCGUGCCCUCACCUAGUCAGGUCCCGCAGCCGCGCCUCCUCCCCGCGCAGCUCCUCGGAAUGCGUGGGGGCUUCCUGCAACAUCAGUCUCCGCCGCCCUCCACUAAAUCGCGACCCUGGGAAGGUGUUUCCACUGUGCCCAUCACACUGGGGGAAAUUGAGGCGGGGGCAGGGGACGUCCAGAAGAGUCAAUUAUGCGUAUGUGAAUAGGUGCGCAGGCAAAGAGCGGCAAGAGGACAGCUGGGAGGAAAACCCUCACAGAGAGCGUGACAUCUGAGCCAUCUGAAGGAUAAGUAGGACUCUGUCAGGAUUUGAGAAAACCAGUUUAUGGAAAUGAAGUGACUCAGCUGCAAGACGUAUCAUGCUGGCUUCAGCAGGUAGAGCUGAUGGGAGGAGGUAAGACAGGAAGGAACUGCAUAGUCCAGUAAAUUGCAACAGAAGGAACAGUGCAUCAGUUCUGAGCCUAGGUGUCCAGAGGCCUUGCAUGCUUUGGCUCUCUCUUUUGGGGCUCUGCCCAGGCACCCAGGGAACACCCUGGGCUAGCCUGCUGGGAUGUGAGAGAUCAUGUGCGGCAGUGCUCAGCCAACCCAGCCAAGGCCAUCAGAAAUUAGCCAGCACCCAGUCAACUUGGCAGCUGACCACCAACAGAGAAGUGGACUCACUCAAGACCAGAAGAAAUAUCCAGCUGACCUCAGUCAAAACUGCUAACCCACACAACAGAUUAAGAAGAACAACAUCCAUAAUGUCACAUACAAACCUGAUGUGAACCACAAGAUCCUGGUCUUCAAGCCUGAUGACAUAAUUGCAAGAGGUGUUUGGGGGUCUUGGAAUGGUGCAUCCCCCGUCAAGAGGUGGAGGGAGACUAUUUCUCCUCCCCUUAAACCUGAACUGACAUCAUGACAUUUUUGGCCAAUGGAAUGCAGCAGAGAGAUGGUACAAAUUCUCUGUCUAAGCCUCAACAUGCAUCGCACAUCUCAGCUCUUUCUUUUGAAGUCCUGUCCCACUACUCAUAUGAAAUGACCUGAGCUAGCCUGCUGGAGGACAAGAGAUCACAUGGAAUAGAGAUGAGCCGUCCCAGCGGAAGUUAUUCUACAUUAUCCAGGAACCAGCCAAUUUAGCAGCUGGCCUCAGAUCCAUGAAUAAACUCAGCCAAGACCAGGUGAACAACUCACCUGGGCUUAGCACAAAUGUUGACUUGCAGAAUUAUGAGCUAUAUAAAUACUUGCUAUU
This is a long non-coding RNA of Gorilla gorilla gorilla (western lowland gorilla), 1352 nucleotides long. RefSeq lists it as uncharacterized. NCBI's taxonomy places the organism in Eukaryota, Metazoa, Chordata, Mammalia, Primates, Hominidae. The transcript has 8 exons. The record is from RefSeq and is a predicted model, not a curated record.